Molecule: ribosomal RNA, 551 nt
Filed under: uncultured bacterium
Lineage: Bacteria
Description: partial 16S ribosomal RNA
Rfam family: Bacterial small subunit ribosomal RNA
Source: RNAcentral
UGGGGAAUAUUGCACAAUGGGCGCAAGCCUGAUGCAGCCAUGCCGCGUGUGUGAAGAAGGCCUUCGGGUUGUAAAGCACUUUCAGCGAGGAGGAAGGUGGUGAGCUUAAUACGCUCAUCAAUUGACGUUACUCGCAGAAGAAGCACCGGCUAACUCCGUGCCAGCAGCCGCGGUAAUACGGAGGGUGCAAGCGUUAAUCGGAAUUACUGGACGUAAAGCGCACGCAGGCGGUUUGUUAAGUCAGAUGUGAAAUCCCCGGGCUCAACCUGGGAACUGCAUUUGAAACUGGCAAGCUAGAGUCUCGUAGAGGGGGGUAGAAUUCCAGGUGUAGCGGUGAAAUGCGUAGAGAUCUGGAGGAAUACCGGUGGCGAAGGCGGCCCCCUGGACGAAGACUGACGCUCAGGUGCGAAAGCGUGGGGCAGCAAACAGGAUUAGAUACCCUGGUAGUCCAGCGCUGUAAACGAUGUCGAUUUGGAGGUUGUGCCCUUGAGGCGUGGCUUCCGGAGCUAACGCGUUAAAUCGACCGCCUGGGGGAGUACGGCCGCAAGGUU